UACAGAGGGGGCAAGCGUUAUUCGGAAUUAUUGGGCGUAAAGGGCGCGUAGGCGGCCUGACAAGUGGAAGGUGAAAUCCCUCGGCUUAACCGAGGAACUGCCUUCCAAACUGUUUGGCCUGAGUCCGGGAGAGGCGAGUGGAAUUCCCAGUGUAGCGGUGAAAUGCGUAGAUAUCUGGAGGAACACCGGUGGCGAAGGCGGCAUCCUGGACCGGCAUUGACGCUGAGGCGCGAAAGCCAGGGGAGCAAACGGG
RNAcentral lists this ribosomal RNA (253 nucleotides) under uncultured bacterium. RNAcentral describes it as "partial 16S ribosomal RNA". It matches the Rfam family "Bacterial small subunit ribosomal RNA", at positions 524 to 776 of the family's 1533-position model. The record is from RNAcentral.